This 253-nucleotide ribosomal RNA is filed under the name uncultured bacterium. RNAcentral's name for it is "partial 16S ribosomal RNA". It matches the Rfam family "Bacterial small subunit ribosomal RNA", at positions 524 to 776 of the family's 1533-position model. The record is from RNAcentral.
UACGUAGGGGGCUAGCGUUGUCCGGAAUCAUUGGGCGUAAAGAGCGUGUAGGCGGCCCGGUAAGUCCGCUGUGAAAGUCGGGGGCUCAACCCUGGAAUGCCGGUGGAAACUGUCGGGCUGGAGUCCGGAAGAGGCGAGUGGAAUUCCUGGUGUAGCGGUGAAAUUCGUAGAUAUUCGGAAGAACACCAGUGGCGAAGGCGGCUCACUGGCCCGAUACUGACGCUGAGGCACGAAAGCGUGGGGAGCAAACAGG